Molecule: ribosomal RNA, 434 nt
Filed under: uncultured bacterium
Lineage: Bacteria
Description: partial 16S ribosomal RNA
Rfam family: Bacterial small subunit ribosomal RNA
Source: RNAcentral
AGCGAACGCUGGCGGCAGGCCUAACACAUGCAAGUCGAACGAACCUUUCGGGGUUAGUGGCGGACGGGUGAGUAACACGUGGGAACGUGCCUUUAGGUUCGGAAUAACUCAGGGAAACUUGUGCUAAUACCGAAUGUGCCCUUCGGGGGAAAGAUUAAUCGCCUUUAGAGCGGCCCGCGUCUGAUUAGCUAGUUGGUUGAGGUAAUGGCUCACCAAGGCGACGAUCAGUAGCUGGUCUGAGAGGAUGAUCAGCCACAUUGGGACUGAGACACGGCCCAAACUCCUACGGGAGGCAGCAGUGGGGAAUCUUGCGCAAUGGGCGAAAGCCUGACGCAGCCAUGCCGCGUGAAUGAUGAAGGUCUUAGGAUUGUAAAAUUCUUUCACCGGGGACGAUAAUGACGGUACUCGGAGAAGAAGCCCCGGCUAACUUCGUG